RNAcentral lists this ribosomal RNA (253 nucleotides) under uncultured bacterium. RNAcentral's name for it is "partial 16S ribosomal RNA". It matches the Rfam family "Bacterial small subunit ribosomal RNA", at positions 524 to 776 of the family's 1533-position model. The record is from RNAcentral.
UACGUAGGCAGCGAGCGUUGUUCGGAGUUACUGGGCGUAAAGCGUGCGUAGGCGGUGUCUUAAGUUUGUUGUGAAAUCUCCCGGCUUAACCGGGAGGGUGCGGCGAAUACUGAGAUGCUGGAGUGCCGGAGAGGUAAGCGGAAUUCCUGGUGUAGCGGUGAAAUGCGUAGAUAUCAGGAAGAACACCCGUGGCGAAGGCGGUUCUCUGGGACGGUACUGACGCUGAGACGCGAAAGCGUGGGGAGCGAACAGG